CGAAAGCCUGACGGAGCAACGCCGCGUGAGGGAUGAAGGCCUCUGGGCUGUAAACCYCUUUUCUCAAGGAAGAAGAUCUGACGGUACUUGAGGAAUAAGCCACGGCUAAUUCCGUGCCAGCAGCCGCGGUAAUACGGGAGUGGCGAGCGUUAUCCGGAAUUAUUGGGCGUAAAGCGUCCGCAGGCGGCCUUUCAAGUCUGCUGUUAAAGCGUGGAGCUUAACUCCAUCAUGGCAGUGGAAACUGUUUGGCUUGAGUGUGGUAGGGGCAGAGGGAAUUCCCGGUGUAGCGGUGAAAUGCGUAGAUAUCGGGAAGAACACCAGUGGCGAAGGCGCUCUGCUGGGCCAUAACUGACGCUCAUGGACGAAAGCCAGGGGAGCG
RNAcentral lists this ribosomal RNA (379 nucleotides) under uncultured cyanobacterium. Its description in RNAcentral is "SSU rRNA". It matches the Rfam family "Bacterial small subunit ribosomal RNA", at positions 376 to 770 of the family's 1533-position model. The record is from RNAcentral. Lineage: Bacteria; Bacillati; Cyanobacteriota.